GCCGGCGUAGCUCAGCGGUCUAGAGCGAUGGAUUCAUAACCCAUAGGUCGGUGGUUCAAUUCCACCCGCCGGUACCA
This 77-nucleotide transfer RNA is filed under the name Planctomycetaceae bacterium. RNAcentral's name for it is "tRNA-Met". It matches the Rfam family "tRNA". Rfam says of the family: Transfer RNA (tRNA) molecules are approximately 80 nucleotides in length. The record is from RNAcentral. Lineage: Bacteria; Pseudomonadati; Planctomycetota; Planctomycetia; Planctomycetales; Planctomycetaceae. RNAcentral also lists the same sequence under 1 other name.